This 495-nucleotide ribosomal RNA is filed under the name uncultured bacterium. Its description in RNAcentral is "bacterial SSU rRNA". It matches the Rfam family "Bacterial small subunit ribosomal RNA", at positions 29 to 518 of the family's 1533-position model. The record is from RNAcentral.
AUGAACGCUAGCGACAGGCCUAACACAUGCAAGUCGAGGGGCAGCACAAGGAGCAAUCUGAGGUGGCGACCGGCGCACGGGUGAGUAACACGUAUGCAACCUGCCUGUAAGCGGGGAAUAACCCGUUGAAAGACGGACUAAUACCGCAUAAUACUAAAUUACUGCAUGGUAAUUUAUUUAAACAUUUAUGGCUUACAGAUGGGCAUGCGCAUGAUUAGCUAGUUGGAGAGGUAACGGCUCCCCAAGGCAACGAUCAUUAGGGGUUCUGAGAGGAAGGUCCCCCACACUGGUACUGAGACACGGACCAGACUCCUACGGGAGGCAGCAGUGAGGAAUAUUGGUCAAUGGACGAGAGUCUGAACCAGCCAAGUCGCGUGCAGGAAAAAUGUCCUAAUGGAUUGUAAACUGCUUUUGCAGGGGAAUAAAGUGCAUCACGUGUGAUGUUUUGUAUGUACUCUGCGAAUAAGGAUCGGCUAACUCCGUGCCAGCCGCAGC